Hypoxylon trugodes is the source of this 128-nucleotide non-coding RNA. The record is from the annotation of a RefSeq genome assembly. Lineage: Eukaryota; Fungi; Ascomycota; Sordariomycetes; Xylariales; Hypoxylaceae.
GGACUGGUAGCUCAGAGGUAGAGGUAAGAUUUCAACUCCUUACAAAACAUUCUAAAUUAAAUACUAACAACUUUAAUAGCAGCGGACUGCAGUUCCGAAGGUCGCUGGUUCGAUUCCGGCCCAGUCCU